RNAcentral lists this ribosomal RNA (466 nucleotides) under uncultured bacterium. RNAcentral's name for it is "partial 16S ribosomal RNA". It matches the Rfam family "Bacterial small subunit ribosomal RNA", at positions 339 to 795 of the family's 1533-position model. The record is from RNAcentral.
CUACGGGCGGCAGCAGUGGGGAAUAUUGGACAAUGGGGGAAACCCUGAUCCAGUAAUGCCGCGUGUGUGAAGAAGGCCUGCGGGUUGUAAAGCACUUUCGGUUGGGAGGACUGCUUCUAGCACUAAUAUUGUUGGAAGUUGACGUUACCUUCAGAAGAAGCACCGGCUAACUCCGUGCCAGCAGCCGCGGUAAUGACGGAGGGUGCAAGCGUUAAUCGGAAUUACUGGGCGUAAAGCGCGCGUAGGCGGCUAGAUCAGUCGGGUGUGAAAGCCCCGGGCUUAACCUGGGAACUGCAUCCGAUACUGGCUAGCUUGAGUACAGGAGAGGAGAGUGGAAUUCCACAUGUAGCGGUGAAAUGCGUAGAUAUGUGGAGGAACACCAAUGGCGAAGGCAGCUCUCUGGCCUGAUACUGACGCUGAGGUGCGAAAGCGUGGGGAGCAAACAGGAUUAGAUACCCUCGUAGUC